CCUGGAUGUGUGGGUCAGCGCGACCCACCGGGAAUCGCCCUGCGACCCACUAGUGGGUCUCGACCCACACUUUGGGAACCGCUGCUCUAAAUGCUCGACCACUACUCAAGACCGUCCUUUAAGUUCCUAUCGAGCGCACUCCAUAGCGAAAUUCUUUGAGGCCUGCAGAGUGACUGGUGGUUGGGGAGGCGGCCGAUUCCUCGCUUUACAGCACUCCAUUAUUUUCC
Non-coding RNA from Pelobates cultripes (western spadefoot toad), 227 nucleotides. Lineage: Eukaryota; Metazoa; Chordata; Amphibia; Anura; Pelobatidae. The record is from the annotation of a GenBank genome assembly.